UACGGAGGGGGCUAGCGUUGUUCGGAAUUAUUGGGCGUAAAGGGCGCGUAGGCGGCCGAAUAAGUCUGACGUGAAAUCCCACGGCCCAACCGUGGAACUGCGUUUGAUACUGUUCGGCUCGAGUCCGGGAGAGGGUAGCGGAAUUCCCAGUGUAGCGGUGAAAUGCGUAGAUAUUGGGAGGAACACCGGUGGCGAAGGCGGCUACCUGGACCGGUACUGACGCUGAGGCGCGAAAGCUAGGGUAGCAAACAGGAUUAGAUACCCUGGUAGUCCUAGCUGUAAACGAUGGGUGCUUGGUGUAGCGGGUAUCGACCCCUGCUGUGCCGAAGCUAACGCAUUAAGCACCCCGCCUGGGGAGUACGGUCGCAAGGCUGAA
RNAcentral lists this ribosomal RNA (376 nucleotides) under uncultured bacterium. RNAcentral's name for it is "bacterial SSU rRNA". It matches the Rfam family "Bacterial small subunit ribosomal RNA", at positions 524 to 898 of the family's 1533-position model. The record is from RNAcentral.